UGGGGAAUUUUGGACAAUGGGCGCAAGCCUGAUCCAGCCAUGCCGCGUGUCUGAAGAAGGACUUCGGGUUGUAAAGGACUUUUGUCAGGGAAGAAAAGGGCGGGGUUAAUACCCCUGUCUGAUGACGGUACCUGAAGAAUAAGCACCGGCUAACUACGUGCCAGCAGCCGCGGUAAUACGUAGGGUGCGAUCGUUAAUAGGAAUUACUGGGCGUAAAGCGGUCGCAGACGGUUACUUAAGCAGGAUGUGCAAUCCCCGGGCUCAACCUGGGAACUGCGUUCUGAACUGGGUGACUAGAGUGUGUCAGAGGGAGGUAGAAUUCCACGUGUAGCAGUGAAAUGCGUAGAGAUGUGGAGGAAUACCGAUGGCGAAGGCAGCCUCCUGGGAUAACACUGACGUUCAUGCCCGAAAGCGUGGGUAGCAAACA
Molecule: ribosomal RNA, 427 nt
Filed under: uncultured bacterium
Lineage: Bacteria
Description: partial 16S ribosomal RNA
Rfam family: Bacterial small subunit ribosomal RNA
Source: RNAcentral